RNAcentral lists this unclassified non-coding RNA (762 nucleotides) under Hevea brasiliensis (rubber tree). The record is from RNAcentral. Lineage: Eukaryota; Viridiplantae; Streptophyta; Magnoliopsida; Malpighiales; Euphorbiaceae.
GCCACUUCUCUUUCACCUCAAGUUUUUUAUAUGAAAAUAAAAUCCUCAAAAUGGAAACUUAUGAUAGGUUUAUGUAGUAACCACAGGCACAAAAAAAAAUUGGGUUCAAAUUGAAACUGGCCUCAAAGGUUUUUUAUGCAAUUAACCCACUCAGGAUAUUUUCAACAAUCCGCCAUCUUUCUUUUUUUUCAUUUUUUUUCCUUUCAUUUUUAGUUAGGGAACAGUGUUCAAUUCUUGCAGUUGCGUCUCAAAUUAUACUUCAUGAGGCUUUUUAUUACAUCUGAUCUGAUGUUGUGAAAAGGGCAUCAAAAAAAUGGGGGAAGAAGGGAAGAUGUCUUCCAAAUUCAGUGUCAAAGUUUGUAGCAUUGACAGGCUCAGAUAAAGACACUUUUCGAAAAUUUUAUUAAAGCAACUUAAAAAUGCUUCCCAGGUGCAUUUGGGAUGUAUAUAGAAAUUCAAAAACAUAUCAAAAGCAGUUUCUAGCUGUUCUUUGCACUGUUUUCAAAACCAGAUUGGACUGGGCAGUCACACUGAUAACUAGACCAAUGAAAAGUUCUUUUUUUAAUUAUUAUCCUUUAUUUUAUUUUCCCUUUUUUGGCCUUAAAAUCAUUAAUAUAAUGAUUUUAAAACUUUUUUUUAUUACAUUUGAUUUGACCUAUUUGUUUCAAAAUUAAAUCAGUUGGAACCGGUAAGAUGGUGUCAACUAACUAGUUCACCAACCAGUUGGUCAGGUUUUAAGAACAUUGGCUAUUUGGAAAAGAA